RNAcentral lists this ribosomal RNA (253 nucleotides) under uncultured bacterium. Its description in RNAcentral is "partial 16S ribosomal RNA". It matches the Rfam family "Bacterial small subunit ribosomal RNA", at positions 524 to 776 of the family's 1533-position model. The record is from RNAcentral.
UACGUAGGGUCCGAGCGUUGUCCGGAAUUAUUGGGCGUAAAGGGCUCGUAGGCGGUUUGUCGCGUCGGGAGUGAAAACACGGGGCUUAACCCCGUGCCUGCUUCCGAUACGGGCAGACUAGAGGUAUGCAGGGGAGAACGGAAUUCCUGGUGUAGCGGUGAAAUGCGCAGAUAUCAGGAGGAACACCGGUGGCGAAGGCGGUUCUCUGGGACGGUACUGACGCUGAGACGCGAAAGCGUGGGGAGCGAACAGG